AUGUUAGGAUCGGCUGGCUCAUCCUCAUCAUCCGAAAAGAAAACAGAGACAAAACAGAUUUGUUUCAAUGACAUAUCUAAUCAGACUGAAAUUGAUGUCGAAGACACGAUCAUUCACAUCAAUUGA
This 126-nucleotide ribosomal RNA is filed under the name Triticum aestivum (bread wheat). Its description in RNAcentral is "partial small subunit ribosomal RNA". The record is from RNAcentral. Lineage: Eukaryota; Viridiplantae; Streptophyta; Magnoliopsida; Poales; Poaceae.